This 530-nucleotide ribosomal RNA is filed under the name Arthrobotrys psychrophilus. RNAcentral's name for it is "SSU rRNA". It matches the Rfam family "Eukaryotic small subunit ribosomal RNA", at positions 26 to 568 of the family's 1831-position model. Lineage: Eukaryota; Fungi; Ascomycota; Orbiliomycetes; Orbiliales; Orbiliaceae. The record is from RNAcentral.
CACGGUAGGUUUGUUUUUUGGUGAAGCUGUCUGCAUAGCACUAUACAGUGAAACUGCGAAUGGCUCAUUAAAUCAGUUAUCGUUUAUUUGAUAGUACCUUACUACUUGGAUAACCGUGGUAAUUCUAGAGCUAAUACAUGCUAAAAAUCCCGACCUCCGGAAGGGAUGUAUUUAUUAGAUAAAAAACCAAUGCCUUCGGGCUCCUUGGUGAUUCAUGAUAACUUAACGAAUCGCAUGGCCUUGCGCCGGCGAUGGUUCAUUCAAAUUUCUGCCCUAUCAACUUUCGAUGGUAGGAUAGUGGCCUACCAUGGUUUCAACGGGUAACGGGGAAUUAGGGUUCGAUUCCGGAGAGGGAGCCUGAGAAACGGCUACCACAUCCAAGGAAGGCAGCAGGCGCGCAAAUUACCCAAUCCCAAUCCGGGGAGGUAGUGACAAUAAAUACUGAUACAGGGCUCUUUUGGGUCUUGUAAUUGGAAUGAGUACAAUUUAAAUCCCUUAACGAGGAACAAUUGGAGGGCAAGUCUGGCCCC